UACGGGGGGGGCAAGCGUUGUUCGGAAUUACUGGGCGUAAAGGGCUCGUAGGCGGCCAACUAAGUCAUACGUGAAAUCCCUCGGCUUAACCGGGGAACUGCGUCCGAUACUGGUGGGCUUGAAUCCGGGAGAGGGAUGCGGAAUUCCAGGUGUAGCGGUGAAAUGCGUAGAUAUCUGGAGGAACACCGGUGGCGAAGGCGGCAUCCUGGACCGGCAUUGACGCUGAGGCGCGAAAGCUAGGGGAGCAAACGGG
RNAcentral lists this ribosomal RNA (253 nucleotides) under uncultured bacterium. RNAcentral describes it as "partial 16S ribosomal RNA". It matches the Rfam family "Bacterial small subunit ribosomal RNA", at positions 524 to 776 of the family's 1533-position model. The record is from RNAcentral.